GCGAUCCCAGGUCAGGCGGGACCACCCGCUGAGUUUAA
RNAcentral lists this ribosomal RNA (38 nucleotides) under Galphimia gracilis (slender goldshower). RNAcentral's name for it is "partial 26S ribosomal RNA". The record is from RNAcentral. Lineage: Eukaryota; Viridiplantae; Streptophyta; Magnoliopsida; Malpighiales; Malpighiaceae.